Molecule: transfer RNA, 88 nt
Filed under: Alphaproteobacteria bacterium
Lineage: Bacteria; Pseudomonadati; Pseudomonadota; Alphaproteobacteria
Also listed under: 2 other names
Description: tRNA-Leu
Rfam family: tRNA
About the family: Transfer RNA (tRNA) molecules are approximately 80 nucleotides in length. Their secondary structure includes four short double-helical elements and three loops (D, anti-codon, and T loops).
Source: RNAcentral
GCGGGCGUGCUGGAAUAGGUAGACAGACCAGACUUAAAAUCUGGCGGGCUUUAUGCCCUUGGCGGUUCAAGUCCGCCCGUCCGUACCA